ACACAUCUACGAUAUGUAAAACGUGCGUCCAAAACCAAUUCAUCGUUUAAAGACUAUUUUUAAACAAGCAUAUGAUAAUAAAAAACGCACAGACGACUUUCAUUCUUUAUUAAUGUUUAUGUGCAGUGGACGUCCUGGAUAAUAUGCGACAAGGAAACCGGAAACGUCGCGAGCGCCACUCCGCUCAGAGGACGCCUGCUUGCUGAAUGCAAUUGAUGGAUAUACUUGACGAUAUGAGAGCGGGAAAACAUUAGCGCAUGAAGUACCGAUCCUCCUGGAAAAAUCUGCAUUUUAAUCACCGAAUGGCUUACGCAAAACGGACAACUUACCAAGAAAUGCAUCAUUUGCUAGCAAGCGCUAAUGCCACCACUGACGUGAAUAGGCGUUUUUCAUCAGUAAUAGUUAUCGUAUAAAUGUAGUAUCCCUUAUCGGGCAAUAUAGUUCAAUCAGGCAAACCGUAAUUUUAGUUUUCCCCGUGACUCACGUUUAAAUUAUAUAACGAUAUUUUAAAUAGCUGUUAGGAUUGCUUCUAUAAUUUCGGCACAAAUUACGCUAAGAUCAAUGUGCACUACCAUGAAAUCAUACACAAAUAUAAUGACUUUUUAGACGAGUAAAAAAUGGUUUCAUAGAAAAUAUAGUUGCUGCUCCAAUUGUUUAAAUCUAUGUAAUGGUGAUCAGCCCUUGUAUAAUAACAAGGUUAUUUUACAUCCGUUUCUUUGUAUUUAGCGUCCUUAUAUAUCACAAUAUAGCGGUUAAUAAAUAUUCAAAGUUCAAGUAAAAA
Priapulus caudatus is the source of this 781-nucleotide long non-coding RNA. RefSeq lists it as uncharacterized. NCBI's taxonomy places the organism in Eukaryota, Metazoa, Priapulida, Priapulimorpha, Priapulimorphida, Priapulidae. The record is from RefSeq and is a predicted model, not a curated record. The transcript has 3 exons.